AUGAGUAAUAGAACUUGGAAGUAUUAAGACUGUAUAGAAAACCCUCUACUUAUAUUAAUAAAGUAAUUCUCCACCACCUGAGAAACUCAACAUUAAUGAUGCCAGUUACUCGGGUCCAAUAGCCCACAGUGUCUCUACAUCCUAGCCACCUGGUCUCAUCCUGUUACCACAACCUAAUGGAACUGACGAUGGUGGUGUCAACAAAUCAAACUGCCUACCAACCAUAACAUAUUUAAAACCUGUGUAAUCUUGCUCUGUCGCUGAGAAGAUAUUCUAAGAGGACUUUUAAAAACAUAAAGCCUUUUCUCUCUUCUCUGGGAAGGUUUGGGCUAACUGAGGAUGAGACAAACACCACAUGAAAUAAUGAACAAAAUUACGAGAGAUUUAUAAUUAAGCGCUAAAUUAUGAACUACAUUCUAUUCAGAGGAAAGUGAUAUAUGCUAUCAGCUCCCUCUGAGCUGUCAGCACAGAGCCAGACGUGGGGCUCGAAUUUAUGAACCGCGAGAUCGUGACCUGAGCCGAAGUCAGAUGCUAACUGACUGAGCCACCCAGGCGCCCCAAAGAUAUUAAUUUUUAUUGAGCAUCUACUACCAAACCACCAUCCUAAGAAGUAUUGUCCCAUUUUCCAGGGAAGGGAAAGGAAUUUCCUCAAGUCACACAUUUACUUAUGGGGCCGACCCAGGGCAUGAACUCAGGAGAGACUGUCUCAGUGGGGGCGCUCUGGGAAGGCACAGCAGAAGCUAAGACUGUAAGGCACACGGGGACUGGUUUGGACAGGCUGACGGAUGUGGCAGAGCAGGGAGAGUCACAUGAGGAAAACCAGGAAGGCAGAACUUGGCACAAGUUGUUAGUUAUGCCAGAGAGGAGACAUUCUGACUGGAGACUUUCAGUUCGCCCACCACUGCUGGGUGUUUUAAGCAUUUCAGUUUGGCAGUAAACAUAAAAAGUUUAGUUACAGAGGCGUAAGCCUGGAAUACUCAGUGACGGGCUCACUGCCAUGAAUAAUUGUGACAAAACAACAGCUGUUACGAGAUCAUGAGGCAGCGAGCCCCACCUCAGUACACUUGUGUCCCACCUAAGGACUUUCCAAAGUUCGGGGAAACCAGGCCAGCUGAGCGUUCAAAUCGCCACUCCCAUCACACUCCAGGUACCUCAAAGAAAGUUGAAAGAAGGUGAUUCAAAUUGCCAGGAAGAGUUUGGGAACAUCCACACUGCCUAUCAGUUUUUUAAAACAACAUUUUUUAAAAGGCAUAAUCUAUCCACGGAACAAGACUACGUCAGCACCACAAAUAAUCAAGGACAAAUCACACACAACGAAGGAAGUGCUCAUCACUGCUGCCCGUUUUGUGCACACAAGACAGUCCCUGUCUCUCAACUAGGAACGUCAGCCACUUUAGGCUUUUGAAUGUUGGUCUUUCUCCUGUUGUCUUCUACCUACUGACUUUUCAAUCAGCUCUCCUCCUGUGGCCGGAUCCAUUUCAUGGCAUAUCACUCCCACCUCAGAAGACUGGGUCACAGAAGUGAUUUCAGGACUCAUAAGUGAGCAGAAGACUCAAGCUCAAAUAUUAGCUGAGUGACUGAAUAAUUACUAUAGGUAUGGUCCUCUGGACAAGCAAUCUGCCUAAUAUCUCAGGGAAGGAAAGGCCACAGAACUGCAAGCUGUAAGAGAGAUUACCUACACUAACCAAAUUAGGUUCUGACUGAGGAGGGUAAAGGAGUUCAGCAGAGCGAAAGAGAUCAACUACCUCCAUUUUGACCUCCAUCUGUACUUGGUAAGUGAUUAAGUUCUUCUUUCCAGCUUGACUCUUAACUCUGGCAAAAGACCCUGCAGGCAAAGCAUUUUCUAAUGGGAACUGAAACUAUCCCCUCAAGCAAUAAGGACUGCCCUGAGCCAGCAAGACUUGGGCCGUGACAGUGAUCAACCAGACCUUUACUGCCCACCCAUGCAUGUACCCACUGACUUUUGUCCCACAUUUUCCUCAUAUAAACCUUGGGAGUAUUUUCAGCACUUUGGAGACAGUCUUUGAGAUGCAUGAGUCCCCUGUCUUCUCAGUGUUGGCCUCACUGAAAUAAAUUCCUGUCUUGUUUCACCACCA
Long non-coding RNA from Neofelis nebulosa (Clouded leopard), 2096 nucleotides. RefSeq lists it as uncharacterized. The transcript is spliced from 2 exons. The record is from RefSeq and is a predicted model, not a curated record. Lineage: Eukaryota; Metazoa; Chordata; Mammalia; Carnivora; Felidae.